UACGAAGGGGGCUAGCGUUGCUCGGAAUCACUGGGCGUAAAGCGCACGUAGGCGGCUUUUUAAGUCAGGGGUGAAAUCCUGGAGCUCAACUCCAGAACUGCCUUUGAUACUGAGAGCUUGAGUCCGGGAGAGGUGAGUGGAACUGCGAGUGUAGAGGUGAAAUUCGUAGAUAUUCGCAAGAACACCAGUGGCGAAGGCGGCUCACUGGCCCGGUACUGACGCUGAGGUGCGAAAGCGUGGGGAGCAAACAGG
Molecule: ribosomal RNA, 252 nt
Filed under: uncultured bacterium
Lineage: Bacteria
Description: partial 16S ribosomal RNA
Rfam family: Bacterial small subunit ribosomal RNA
Source: RNAcentral